AGAGCGAACGCUGGCGGCAUGCUUAACACAUGCAAGUCGCACGGGCACUUCGGUGUCAGUGGCGGACGGGUGAGUAACGCGUAGGUAUCUAUCCUUGGGUGGGGGACAACGGUUGGAAACGACUGCUAAUACCGCAUAAUAACUGAGGUUUAAAGGCGCAAGUCGCCUGAGGAGGAGCCUGCGUACGAUUAGCUAGUUGGUGGGGUAAAGGCCUACCAAGGCGACGAUCGUUAGCUGGUCUGAGAGGAUGAUCAGCCACAUUGGGACUGAGACACGGCCCAAACUCCUACGGGAGGCAGCAGUGGGGAAUAUUGGACAAUGGGCGAAAGCCUGAUCCAGCAAUGCCGCGUGUGUGAAGAAGGUCUUCGGAUUGUAAAGCACUUUCGACAGGGACGAUGAUGACGGUACCUGUAGAAGAAGCCCGGCUAACUUCGUGCCAGCAGCCGC
Molecule: ribosomal RNA, 447 nt
Filed under: uncultured bacterium
Lineage: Bacteria
Description: SSU rRNA
Rfam family: Bacterial small subunit ribosomal RNA
Source: RNAcentral